AAGAACCUCACCGUCGAUGAUGAAUCACAAUCCGAACAAUUCCUUUGAGAUCGCUCAGCAUCCAAGCGAUUCUGUUUCAAGCCUCUGUUUCAGUCCCAAAUCGAACUUUCUAGUCUCUACCUCUCGGGACAAUCAGAUCUUUACCUGUUAUAUGAUUUUGCAAUUGAGGGACUGGAUUGGUAGUUUGUGCUUGAAUUUGAGGCUUCUGUGGUGUUUGGGUUGGUAGCUCUCCUCGUAAAUCACCACGAGUAAAUCCAAAGAGUGAAAUGAGUUUUCUAAAGAGUAUUCUUUCCCUUUGCAUUUGUAGUAGUAUACUUCGAAAAUCAUGUGAAUUUGGAUUCUGAAGCCUCCAUUGACCAAGAGAUGAUUCAGCCAACCAAGAAGUGUUGAAAUGAAGUCUCGUGUUGAAGGUGGCAGAAUUAUGUCUAUGAGUUUAGAGCAUCACCAUUGAAAAAUGACAGUAGCAUUACAACAUUGACAGUAGCUUUAUGUAACUAUUGUACUAGAUUUUCACAGCUAUGGUAGUGGCUUUUUACAACUAUGGAAGUAGUUUUUUACAUAGUUACAUCAUUGUUGAAUCCUACAUAUUUUGUGUAUCAUUGAAUAUGUUUUAUGUUCUCUAUUACAGUAGCAUUUUUAUUUUGGCUGUAUACGUUAAAUUUC
This is a long non-coding RNA of Rosa rugosa (rugosa rose), 663 nucleotides long. RefSeq lists it as uncharacterized. Lineage: Eukaryota; Viridiplantae; Streptophyta; Magnoliopsida; Rosales; Rosaceae. The record is from RefSeq and is a predicted model, not a curated record. The transcript has 4 exons.